RNAcentral lists this ribosomal RNA (345 nucleotides) under Triticum aestivum (bread wheat). RNAcentral describes it as "partial small subunit ribosomal RNA". Lineage: Eukaryota; Viridiplantae; Streptophyta; Magnoliopsida; Poales; Poaceae. The record is from RNAcentral.
AUGAAUGGUGUGUUGGGCAUGUACUGGAGUGACAACAUGUAUGAGAUGAGCGACAAGGCCAAGGACGCUGAGCUGGGCAAGAGGCUCUGGCUUUACUGUCAAGCUUGGUUGUCACCUGACUUGGAUUUGUGUCGCUUGCACGCAUACCAGCAGUUGUCGCCACUGUCUUCGGCAAAGGUGGUACGCUGUCUUGGUUAUGGCAUUGACGGUACGGCAAGGUUUUCGCCCUCUAUCCUUGGCAUUGGCUCCCACGACUGCCCCCUCGGCUACCACCACCGAGACAAAGAGCUGCUCGCUAGCUGUGAAAGACAUGAGAAGAAAUAUGGUCCUCCAAAUAAAAUUUAA